This 487-nucleotide ribosomal RNA is filed under the name uncultured bacterium. Its description in RNAcentral is "bacterial SSU rRNA". It matches the Rfam family "Bacterial small subunit ribosomal RNA", at positions 8 to 482 of the family's 1533-position model. The record is from RNAcentral.
AGAGUUUGAUCCUGGCUCAGGAUGAACGCUAGCGACAGGCUUAACACAUGCAAGUCGAGGGGCAGCGGGGGAGUAGCAAUACUCCCGCCGGCGACCGGCGCACGGGUGAGUAACACGUAUGAAACCUGCCCGUAGCAGGGGGAUAAGCGGAAGAAAUUCCGUCUAAUACCGCGUAACAACCCUUGGAGGCAUCUCCUCGGGUUUAAAGGAAGCGAUUCCGGCUACGGAUGGUCAUGCGUCGCAUUAGCUUGUUGGCGGGGUAACGGCCCACCAAGGCGACGAUGCGUAGGGGUUCUGAGAGGAAGGUCCCCCACACUGGUACUGAGACACGGACCAGACUCCUACGGGAGGCAGCAGUGAGGAAUAUUGGUCAAUGGCCGCAGGGCUGAACCAGCCAAGUCGCGUGAGGGAUGACGGUCCUGUGGAUUGUAAACCUCUUUUGUCAAGGAGCAAAGGGCGUCACGUGUGGCGCUUUGCGAGUACCUGA